UCCUGCCCCAAUAGGCCUCUAUUAGCGUUUGUCACAGUUCCCAUUUUUGACCACUAAGAACAAUAAUAACUA
Molecule: non-coding RNA, 72 nt
Organism: Pangasianodon gigas (Mekong giant catfish)
Lineage: Eukaryota; Metazoa; Chordata; Actinopteri; Siluriformes; Pangasiidae
Source: the annotation of a GenBank genome assembly